UGGGGAAUAUUGCACAAUGGGCGCAAGCCUGAUGCAGCCAUGCCGCGUGUAUGAAGAAGGCCUUCGGGUUGUAAAGUACUUUCAGUCGGGAGGAAGGUGGUAAGGUUAAUAACCUUAUCAAUUGACGUUACCCGCAGAAGAAGCACCGGCUAACUCCGUGCCAGCAGCCGCGGUAAUACGGAGGGUGCAAGCAUUAAUCGGAAUUACUGGGCGUAAAGCGCACGCAGGCGGUUUGUUAAGUCAGAUGUGAAAUCCCCGGGCUCAACCUGGGAACUGCAUCUGAUACUGGCAAGCUUGAGUCUCGUAGAGGGGGGUAGAAUUCCAGGUGUAGCGGUGAAAUGCGUAGAGAUCUGGAGGAAUACCGGUGGCGAAGGCGGCCCCCUGGACGAAGACUGACGCUCAGGUGCGAAAGCGUGGGGAGCAAACAGG
RNAcentral lists this ribosomal RNA (429 nucleotides) under Chloroflexota bacterium. RNAcentral's name for it is "Chloroflexi bacterium partial 16S ribosomal RNA". It matches the Rfam family "Bacterial small subunit ribosomal RNA", at positions 355 to 776 of the family's 1533-position model. Lineage: Bacteria; Bacillati; Chloroflexota. The record is from RNAcentral.